RNAcentral lists this long non-coding RNA (443 nucleotides) under Cyanistes caeruleus (blue tit). RNAcentral's name for it is "lncRNA (ENSCCEG00000020351.1)". Lineage: Eukaryota; Metazoa; Chordata; Aves; Passeriformes; Paridae. The record is from RNAcentral.
AUUGAAAAACAUACUGAAUUUAUUCCUUUGUAUUACACAGCAGACGAGGCUCAGGUUGUUGUAUUGGUACUGCUGAAACAUUAAAUGCAUGAGUGACUGAAAAUUCAGUGAUCCCACAGAUGACUUCUAGUCCCAAGAACAAAGGCACUGGGGUAAGACAGUGAAGUCUUUAACUGCUCCAGAAGAAGAGGGUCUGGAAAGAAAAUGUCUCUGGCAAAAAAGUAUCAGGUGAAGCUGUCCCUAUGAAGUUGAUGAAGUAUUGUAAAAACACCAGGAAGGGUGAAGCUGUGUUUUCCUGUGAAGUCAGCAAACUGGAUGGUUGGUGCAGAGUUCAUAUUUACAGACCCCUCAGACAAUCACCAGAGCAGGUGUCACCAGAUGGCCCAAACCAGUGGUGCAGAGAAGGAAGAGGAAUCCACCUGUUCAGGCACAUGAUACUGUAG